UAGAUACCCUAUUAUUUUGGAUUUAAAAAUUUAACUUGAGUAGUAUUAGAUAUGGUCUUGAAACUUAAAGAAUUUGGCGGUAUUUUAGUCUAGUUAGAGGAAUCUGUUUCGUUAUCGAUAACCCACGUUGGACCUUACUUAAUAUAAUUUAAUAUGUAUACCGCCGUUUGUUUGAAGAUCUUUUUAGGGUCAAUUUUCUUUAAUUUGUAACUAAUUUAAUUUCAGGUCAAGGUGCAGUUGAUGAUUAAGUGAUAAUGGAUUACAUUAUUUCUGAAAUAUACGAAUUAAUAUCUGAAAGUGUUUUAUGAAGGUGGAUUUGAUAGUAAUUAAUAACAAGAAUUGUUAUUGUGAUUAUAGCUCUAGAAUGUGCACACAUCGCCCGUCACUCUCGUUAUUAAGAUGAGAUAAGUC
RNAcentral lists this ribosomal RNA (411 nucleotides) under Panesthia cribrata. RNAcentral's name for it is "partial 12S ribosomal RNA". The record is from RNAcentral. Lineage: Eukaryota; Metazoa; Arthropoda; Insecta; Blattodea; Blaberidae.